UACGUAGGGUGCGAGCGUUAAUCGGAAUUACUGGGCGUAAAGCGUGCGCAGGCGGUUUUGCAAGUCAGAUGUGAAAGCCCCGGGCUCAACCUGGGAAUUGCAUUUGAAACUACAAGGCUAGAGUGUGUCAGAGGGGGGUAGAAUUCCACGUGUAGCAGUGAAAUGCGUAGAGAUGUGGAGGAAUACCGAUGGCGAAGGCAGCCCCCUGGGAUAACACUGACGCUCAUGCACGAAAGCGCGGGGAGCAAACAGG
This 253-nucleotide ribosomal RNA is filed under the name uncultured bacterium. RNAcentral describes it as "partial 16S ribosomal RNA". It matches the Rfam family "Bacterial small subunit ribosomal RNA", at positions 524 to 776 of the family's 1533-position model. The record is from RNAcentral.